This is a long non-coding RNA of Sitodiplosis mosellana (orange wheat blossom midge), 323 nucleotides long. RefSeq lists it as uncharacterized. The transcript is spliced from 2 exons. The record is from RefSeq and is a predicted model, not a curated record. NCBI's taxonomy places the organism in Eukaryota, Metazoa, Arthropoda, Insecta, Diptera, Cecidomyiidae.
AUCUCCAGACUUCGAUCGUUUGUUUGUAAAAGGCAUUCACUGCUUUGCUUGGUAUCAGAGUGAGUUUAACAGUUGCAGUGGACAGUACAUAGAAUACAAUAACAAGAUGAAUCCAAAGAUUUUUUUCGCAUUUUUGUUAUUACUUAUCUGUAAAGUUUAUCAGACAGUAUCGCAAGUUGUUGAUGAUAAGGGAUUACCAAACGAGCCUCCAGAGGACGAUAUACGAUACGCCCUUAAUUGAAAAUAUGACUGCGAUUUCUUUAAAUUUAUAAAUGAGAUGUUUCAUUUGAAAUUUUAAUGGAAUAAACUAAAAGUCAACGAAA